Non-coding RNA from Trametes elegans, 83 nucleotides. Lineage: Eukaryota; Fungi; Basidiomycota; Agaricomycetes; Polyporales; Polyporaceae. The record is from the annotation of a GenBank genome assembly.
GCCCGCCUAGCUCAAUCGGAUAGAGCGUCAGACUCUUAAAGCUGGUGAUCUGAAGGCUGCGAGUUCGACCCUCGCGGUGGGCU